RNAcentral lists this ribosomal RNA (253 nucleotides) under uncultured bacterium. RNAcentral describes it as "partial 16S ribosomal RNA". It matches the Rfam family "Bacterial small subunit ribosomal RNA", at positions 524 to 776 of the family's 1533-position model. The record is from RNAcentral.
UACAGAGGGUGCGAGCGUUAAUCGGAAUUAUUGGGCGUAAAGCGCACGUAGGCGGCAUCGUAAGUCCGAUGUGAAAGCCCCAGGCUCAACCUGGGAAGUGCAUUGGAUACUGCGGAGCUUGAAUCUGGAAGAGGGUCGCGGAAUUCCCGGUGUAGAGGUGAAAUUCGUAGAUAUCGGGAGGAACACCAGUGGCGAAGGCGGCGACCUGGGCCAAGAUUGACGCUGAGGUGCGAAAGCGUGGGGAGCAAACAGG